This 429-nucleotide ribosomal RNA is filed under the name Verrucomicrobiota bacterium. RNAcentral describes it as "Verrucomicrobia bacterium partial 16S ribosomal RNA". It matches the Rfam family "Bacterial small subunit ribosomal RNA", at positions 355 to 776 of the family's 1533-position model. Lineage: Bacteria; Pseudomonadati; Verrucomicrobiota. The record is from RNAcentral.
UAGGGAAUCUUCCGCAAUGGACGAAAGCCUGACGGAGCAACGCCGCGUGAGUGAAGAAGGAUUUCGGUUCGUAAAACUCUGUUGUUAGGGAAGAAAAAAUGUAUAGUAACUAUAUACAAAAGAGACGGUACCUAACCAGAAAGCCACGGCUAACUACGUGCCAGCAGCCGCGGUAAUACGUAGGUGGCAAGCGUUGUCCGGAAUUAUUGGGCGUAAAGCGCGCGCAGGUGGUUUAGAAAGUCUGAUGUGAAAGCCCACGGCUCAACCGUGGAGGGUCAUUGGAAACUAAUAAACUUGAGUGCAGGAGAGAAAAGUGGAAUUCCUAGUGUAGCGGUGAAAUGCGUAGAGAUUAGGAGGAACACCGGUGGCGAAAGCGGCUUUUUGGCCUGCAACUGACACUGAGGCGCGAAAGCGUGGGGAGCAAACAGG